This 335-nucleotide unclassified non-coding RNA is filed under the name soil metagenome. Its description in RNAcentral is "partial contains 5.8S ribosomal RNA, internal transcribed spacer 2, and large subunit ribosomal RNA". The stretch from base 1 to 120 matches the Rfam family "5.8S ribosomal RNA", at positions 35 to 154 of the family's 154-position model. The record is from RNAcentral.
GAUGAAGAACGCAGUGAAAUGCGAUAAGUAAUGUGAAUUGCAGAAUUCAGUGAAUCAUCGAAUCUUUGAACGCACAUUGCGCCCGCCAGUAUUCUGGCGGGCAUGCCUGUUCGAGCGUCAUUUCAACCAUCAAGCCCCAGGCUUGUGUUGGGGACCUGCGGCUGCCGCAGGCCCUGAAAACCAGUGGCGGGCUCGCUGUCACACCGGGCGUAGUAGAUUUUAUCUCGCUCUGGGCGUGCUGCGGGUUCCGGCCGUUAAAAAACCCUUUUAACCCAAGGUUGACCUCGGAUCAGGUAGGAAUACCCGCUGAACUUAAGCAUAUCAAUAAGCGGAGG